UAGAAACCGAAACAAGUCGAACGUUUUUUCUAAUAACUCUGCAUUUGGCAGAGUCCGCACAUUUUGGCGAUCGUGACAGGACUCUGCAUUUGGAAUAUUUGUUUUCUCCCUCUAAACCAAAGGGCAUUGCCAACAUAUUUGGAUAAGAUCGAACGGUUAUACGCUGCUGACGACAGCCGGCAAGAAUUAGAGGACGUAUUCAUAAAAACCAAGGCAAUUAUUAUAACUCGUAUUGGGGCGUCAAAGAAGGACCGGAAGAAGAUGUAAAAUUCUUUAAUUCAUCCGUAAAUUGCGCAACUGGGCACCAUAAUCGAUUGCCUUCGUUAAAGCUGCCCAAGAUCGACGGGAGGUAUGGUGACUACAUGAAGUUUAUCACUGCCUUUACUAGCAUUGUACAUGAUGACGCUUCAAUAUCAGCUGUUGACAAAUUUAACUACUUGCUUAGCUGUUUGUCUGGCCCGGCGCUGUGUUUUGUGGCUCCCUUUCAAGUGUCCGAGAUCAAUUAUCCAAAGGCGUUAAAACAGUUAAAGGAAAGCCAUUUACAUACAUUUAUUAUUUUUAAUUUUAUUUAAGUAAACAUUUAAAAAAAAUAAAUAAUUAAAAAAAAAGAUAAGCUAAAUAUAUAUACCCAGGUUGUUUUUGAAAAUA
Drosophila biarmipes is the source of this 648-nucleotide long non-coding RNA. RefSeq lists it as uncharacterized. The transcript is spliced from 2 exons. NCBI's taxonomy places the organism in Eukaryota, Metazoa, Arthropoda, Insecta, Diptera, Drosophilidae. The record is from RefSeq and is a predicted model, not a curated record.